AUCCAGCUGACGAAUCCCAAAUAGGACGAAACUCGUGUCAAACUGGAU
This 48-nucleotide non-coding RNA is filed under the name Schistosoma mansoni. The record is from RNAcentral. Lineage: Eukaryota; Metazoa; Platyhelminthes; Trematoda; Strigeidida; Schistosomatidae.